AGGGGUAUAGUUAAUAAUAACAAUUUCUUUGCAAGAAAAAAGUAUUGAAAAUUCAAUUAUCCUUAA
This 66-nucleotide transfer RNA is filed under the name Neosymplana vittatum. Its description in RNAcentral is "tRNA-Ala". Lineage: Eukaryota; Metazoa; Arthropoda; Insecta; Hemiptera; Caliscelidae. The record is from RNAcentral.